Molecule: unclassified non-coding RNA, 350 nt
Filed under: Hevea brasiliensis (rubber tree)
Lineage: Eukaryota; Viridiplantae; Streptophyta; Magnoliopsida; Malpighiales; Euphorbiaceae
Source: RNAcentral
GUAAAGACUGUAAACAUAUUGGAACCUUGAACCUCUGUUUGCCAAGAAGAAGAGCUAAUUUGCUCCACUUCCUGUUUGUCAACCUAUCUAUAAUCGAAAUAGAAUUUCCGCUUUGGCCUCUGAAUAUCGUGAGUUGAAGUGAAUAGCAAGGGCUUGUGGUCCGAGCCCAAGUCAUCCAGAUGCAAAAUUGUUGCCGCCGGAUAAUGUUGCAACCAAGAGAAGCUAGCCAAUCCCCUAUCAAUCCUUUCUUGUAUAUUUCGAGAGCCUCCUCUUCUGUUAUUCCCGGUCAUGGGAGGGCCUUGGAAACCCAAGUCAAGUAAUUCCAUCUUAUCAACAAAAUGCCCGAAGGA